GUGAACGCUGGCGGUAGGCCUAACACCUGCAAGUCGAACGGCAGCACAGUAAGAGCUUGCUCUUACGGGUGGCGAGUGGCGGACGGGUGAGGAAUACAUCGGAAUCUACUUUUUCGUGGGGGAUAACGUAGGGAAACUUACGCUAAUACCGCAUACGACCUACGGGUGAAAGCAGGGGAUCUUCGGACCUUGCGCGAUUGAAUGAGCCGAUGUCGGAUUAGCUAGUUGGCGGGGUAAAGGCCCACCAAGGCGACGAUCCGUAGCUGGUCUGAGAGGAUGAUCAGCCACACUGAAACUGAGACACGGUCCAGACUCCUACGGGAGGCAGCAGUGGGGAAUAUUGGACAAUGGGCGCAAGCCUGAUCCAGCCAUACCGCGUGGGUGAAGAAGGCCUUCGGGUUGUAAAGCCCUUUUGUUGGGAAAGAAAAGCAGCAGGUUAAUACCCCGCUGUUCUGACGGUACCCAAAGAAUAAGCACCGGCUAACUUCGU
This 490-nucleotide ribosomal RNA is filed under the name uncultured bacterium. Its description in RNAcentral is "partial 16S ribosomal RNA". It matches the Rfam family "Bacterial small subunit ribosomal RNA", at positions 29 to 506 of the family's 1533-position model. The record is from RNAcentral.